CGGGGCGUGGCGCAGCUUGGUAGCGCGCUUGGUUCGGGACCAAGAGGCCGCAGGUUCGAAUCCUGUCGCCCCGACCA
This 77-nucleotide transfer RNA is filed under the name Heliomicrobium gestii. RNAcentral's name for it is "Heliobacterium gestii tRNA-Pro". It matches the Rfam family "tRNA". From Rfam's summary of the family: Transfer RNA (tRNA) molecules are approximately 80 nucleotides in length. Lineage: Bacteria; Bacillati; Bacillota; Clostridia; Eubacteriales; Heliobacteriaceae. The record is from RNAcentral. RNAcentral also lists the same sequence under 2 other names.